UACGGGGGGGGCAAGCGUUGUUCGGAAUUACUGGGCGUAAAGGGCUCGUAGGCGGCCAACUAAGUCAUACGUGAAAUCCCUCGGCUUAACCGGGGAACUGCGUCUGAUACUGGAUGGCUUGAGUUCGGGAGAGGGAUGCGGAAUUCCAGGUGUAGCGGUGAAAUGCGUAGAGAUCAGGAAGAACACCGGUGGCGAAAGCGUUCUGCUAGACCUGUACUGACACUGAGGGACGAAAGCUAGGGGAGCGAAUGGG
RNAcentral lists this ribosomal RNA (253 nucleotides) under uncultured bacterium. RNAcentral describes it as "partial 16S ribosomal RNA". It matches the Rfam family "Bacterial small subunit ribosomal RNA", at positions 524 to 776 of the family's 1533-position model. The record is from RNAcentral.